This 501-nucleotide ribosomal RNA is filed under the name uncultured bacterium. RNAcentral describes it as "partial 16S ribosomal RNA". It matches the Rfam family "Bacterial small subunit ribosomal RNA", at positions 30 to 523 of the family's 1533-position model. The record is from RNAcentral.
AUUGAACGCUGGCGGCAGGCUUAACACAUGCAAGUCGAGCGGAGAGAGGUAGCUUGCUACUGAUCUUAGCGGCGGACGGGUGAGUAAUGCUUAGGAAUCUGCCUAUUAGUGGGGGACAACAUUUCGAAAGGAAUGCUAAUACCGCAUACGUCCUACGGGAGAAAGCAGGGGAUCUUCGGACCUUGCGCUAAUAGAUGAGCCUAAGUCGGAUUAGCUAGUUGGUGGGGUAAAGGCCUACCAAGGCGACGAUCUGUAGCGGGUCUGAGAGGAUGAUCCGACACACUGGGACUGGGACACUGCCCAGACUCCUACGGGAGGCAGCAGUGGGGAAUAUUGGACAAUGGGCGCAAGCCUGAUCCAGCCAUGCCGCGUGUGUGAAGAAGGCCUUAUGGUUGUAAAGCACUUUAAGCGAGGAGGAGGCUACUUUAGAUAAUACCUAGAGAUAGUGGACGUUACUCGCAGAAUAUGCACCGGCUAACUCUGUGCCAGCAGCCGCAGUAA